AACUGGUAUGAGAAAAUAAAACUAACAUUAAAUUUGAAUGCAAACAAUUUUUUGUAUUGUACGUUAAAAAUUUGAGAUAGUACUUUCUAAGUGAGUAAUAAUUGACCUUUCAAAAAACAUAUUAAUUGUUUCGAUUCGCGACUGUAAUUAAACAAGUUAUGUAUACGCGCUAACUCGUUAAGAACCGUUUUUGUUUGAUUCGUUAUCUACAUUAACAACCGGCUUCUGUGAUGCUAAAGACUUCUAAUACUUCAUAUUCGAAACCUGAACAUAGACUACUUGAAAUUUUAUUAAGGUGUACAUGUUAGCCGAAAAUGGUGAAUAUACAUUAAGUAUUUUUAAACCAAUUGGUGACGCAUGCAUUCAAUAAAUAUUUAUUGAUGUGAGGCUGGUGGUUAAUGAGUUCAUAUAACUUUUUGCAAUCGAUCACUUCAGAUAAGAUAGUAUUUCUUGUUAGCAUUAUCUGACAAUUCUGAUAAGGGCAAAAUUCCGUCUUCUAAUUAGUGAGAAGCGAUUGAGCGUUCAACCCCGCAGGAGUUUUUUAAACGCUACAGUCGAGUUCCGUGACUAUCAGAUACCAGUUAGAAAAAAACCCACAAAGAAAAAAAGAGCGGACCUGGCAGAUAAAAAUUAAAUAAUCAAACAAAUUUCAAAAGUGUCUGCGCGAUGUUUUGAAAUAAAAAUUCGGUGUGUCAAGACCAUUUACACCUUAUUCAACGAGUCGAGAAUACCCUUUCAAUCUGCGAGUAACGGGCAUGUGUACACAAAUUUUAUGUAAAUAUUUGCAUUACUCCUGUGGCCAAAUUAGGAAAAGAGUCACACAAAUUAUCGGCAUAUAAGCUUUGACUGGUGUGUAAAUUAAUCUAAAAUAACUAGAAUCAACAAAAUUGUUUUCUGUCCUAAAACUGGAGCCACUGGAAAAUAUUUUGCGGCAACGUUCAAAUGUCGACAUUGAGGAUAAAAUGAAAAAUUACAACGCUUGAUUACAAUCAAUUUUCUUUUUAUUUAAAAACUAAUGGAAAUUACCUUAAAAUUUAAAUUACUUAUACAAAUUCAACAAAAGCAUUAAAACUAAUCCGCUUCAAAUGAGUACAUAA
Molecule: long non-coding RNA, 1097 nt
Organism: Drosophila sechellia
Lineage: Eukaryota; Metazoa; Arthropoda; Insecta; Diptera; Drosophilidae
Exons: 2
Source: RefSeq, a predicted model, not a curated record